AGCAGUAGCCGCGGUAAUACGAAGGGUGCAAGCGUUACUCGGAAUUACUGGGCGUAAAGCGUGCGUAGGUGGUGGUUUAAGUCCGUUGUGAAAGCCCUGGGCUCAACCUGGGAAUUGCAGUGGAUACUGGGUCACUAGAGUGUGGCAGAGGAUAGUGGAAUUUCCGGUGUAGCAGUGAAAUGCGUAGAGAUCGGAAGGAACAUCUGUGGCGAAGGCGACUAUCUGGGCCAACACUGACACUGAGGCACGAAAGCGUGGGGAGCAAACAGGAUUAGAUACCCGGGUAGUCCCUGUCUCUUAUAC
Molecule: ribosomal RNA, 303 nt
Filed under: uncultured bacterium
Lineage: Bacteria
Description: partial 16S ribosomal RNA
Rfam family: Bacterial small subunit ribosomal RNA
Source: RNAcentral